UAAUACUGUCUGGUAAUGAUGAU
Molecule: non-coding RNA, 23 nt
Filed under: Gallus gallus (chicken)
Lineage: Eukaryota; Metazoa; Chordata; Aves; Galliformes; Phasianidae
Source: RNAcentral